UGGUGGUGCAUGGCCGUUCUUAGUUGGUGGAGUGAUUUGUCUGGUUAAUUCCGAUAACGAACGAGACCUUAACCUGCUAAUUAGUCAUCCUCAUUUUAUGGGGCACGACUUCUUAGAGGGACUAUGUAUAUCAAGUGCAUGGAAGUUUGAGGCAAUAACAGGUCUGUGAUGCCCUUAUAUGUCCUGGGCUGCACGCGUGCUACACUGAUGCAUACAACAAGUGCCUAGCUAGACAUAGUAUGGCAAUCUGGAAUAUGCAUCGUGAUGGGGAUAGAUCUUUGCAAUUA
RNAcentral lists this ribosomal RNA (287 nucleotides) under uncultured rumen protozoa. RNAcentral describes it as "partial 18S ribosomal RNA". It matches the Rfam family "Eukaryotic small subunit ribosomal RNA", at positions 1275 to 1592 of the family's 1831-position model. The record is from RNAcentral.